Molecule: long non-coding RNA, 583 nt
Organism: Pipra filicauda (Wire-tailed manakin)
Lineage: Eukaryota; Metazoa; Chordata; Aves; Passeriformes; Pipridae
Exons: 3
Source: RefSeq, a predicted model, not a curated record
AAAAAACAAUGGAAAAGAAUAAAGUAAAACAGAGAUAAUUUGAUCUUUUAUCAAGAAUGGGAGCUUGGAACUUCCCCUGGGGGUUGUUACUCUCUUGCUGGAGACCAUUACACAGGAACAUGAAAGUCUCCCCAUAGGGAAUUAUUUUGGAGACUUUUGCAGGCUUUUGACUUGCAUUUUGGAUGGACAGUUGGGCCCAUACAUCCCUCCAGUAAAGAGCCAAGUUUGCAGGCUUUUGACUUGCAUUAUACCUCUGAUGAGCAAUCUGGCCCCUCGCUCCCUCCAGUGCUGAAGGUGUGAAGCCCUGAAAAGGCAAGAGCCAAGCUUGCAGGCUUUUGACUGUUGCAUUGUACCUCUGAUGGGCAAUUGAAGGUGUCAGGCCCUGAAGGGGCAGGACCUCUGAUGGCCCAUAGGAACCCAUCCCCCCCUCUGCCAGUGGGGAAAAGGGUGGGAACCAGGCCAGACACAGGAACUCUUGCGCAGGGCCCAGGGAGAGGUUGGAGGCUCGAGGCAUGGCCCGUGACACUGACCAUGGAUAUAAUAACUCAUAACUUCUUGGAGUGUGGGGGCUUCUCUCCUUCUC